GGCCCUGCUGCUGGCGCGGCGUGUGACGCAACGGGCGACGCGGCCCGGCAUUUUUCUCUAAAUCGGCAGUAAAUACAGCUGAGUAAAAUUAGCUUGGCUUUCUUCCUUCUUUUGUAACUGAACUGUUUUUAUUAAAAAUCCUAUUUGAAUAUGUAGAAAAAGUGGGGAUGUCCUGUAAUAGAUCGUAGCUUUUCUUGUUUACAGGGUGCUCAGAAAGCAUGCGUCCCUUAGAGUCCCACGGAAAGGUUCUCAGUGCGCUCUCUAUCAAGUGCUAUGAGUCUUGAUAAAUUGGAGAAGAGCCCAAGAGAAAUUUUUCAUCCCUUGAUAUAAAAGGGAUCGGUGAAUUUUAACUUUGGAGUCCUCUGUGCUAAGGAUGCUCAGCUUACCGAUGAUGAAAUGUUCAGUAAUGUAUUUGCUGCAGCUCUGCUUACCCAAGCUUUGGGUUCCUUCUGUCCCACUGGGAGUGGCCCAAUUUGGUUGCAUCUGGUGAAAUUCACCCUGAGACCUUACAGAACCAGCUCCAACUACGUGAGAGCCAUUUGCAGUUCUCUCCAGACACCUGGAGAAUGGGCGACGUUUCUGAGGAUCCGGCGAGCGUGCUUCUAUCAAAACUCCGUCUGUGAAAUUCCUGGGGAAAACCCUUCUGUGUCCUGAAGGGUUCAAACUCUGGUGAGGAUCCAGUUAUCAGGUGCUCACCUGGAUGGUUCCAGCUCCCAAAGGUAACACUUGUACU
This is a long non-coding RNA of Melospiza georgiana, 733 nucleotides long. RefSeq lists it as uncharacterized. The record is from RefSeq and is a predicted model, not a curated record. The transcript is spliced from 4 exons. NCBI's taxonomy places the organism in Eukaryota, Metazoa, Chordata, Aves, Passeriformes, Passerellidae.